Long non-coding RNA from Thalassophryne amazonica, 154 nucleotides. RefSeq lists it as uncharacterized. The record is from RefSeq and is a predicted model, not a curated record. The transcript is spliced from 4 exons. NCBI's taxonomy places the organism in Eukaryota, Metazoa, Chordata, Actinopteri, Batrachoidiformes, Batrachoididae.
CUGCUGAAACAAGUAUCAUGAUAUAAAGAUGUUUCUCAUACUAUGGUGUCUGGCCUGUUUAUCACAUCCCAGGGAUCAUGGCUCAUUUUGAAUACAUCAAAAUACUUAAAGAGUUCAUGUUUCCUUAUGCUGAAGAGGAAAUGCCCUUGAAACG